AAAAUGUUUAUUAAACAAAUAGUUUCAAUUCAAUUUUUAUUUUUUUAUUUGUUAAUAAAAAGCUUAGUAUAUUAUCUAAGAAAACAUUGAUCUAAAGUUCAUAAAUUUCGCUCAUAAUAUCCGUUAAUUUUAGAAAGCCAUAUGAAAAACGUGCAUUCUAACGUUUUUAUUUUGGAUAACGUCUUCCAGUGUGUAACGUUAGGUGACACCAGUAUCUUGCGACGUUUC
Molecule: long non-coding RNA, 228 nt
Filed under: Mytilus galloprovincialis (Mediterranean mussel)
Lineage: Eukaryota; Metazoa; Mollusca; Bivalvia; Mytilida; Mytilidae
Source: RNAcentral